This is a long non-coding RNA of Selaginella moellendorffii, 303 nucleotides long. RefSeq lists it as uncharacterized. The record is from RefSeq and is a predicted model, not a curated record. Lineage: Eukaryota; Viridiplantae; Streptophyta; Lycopodiopsida; Selaginellales; Selaginellaceae. The transcript has 3 exons.
GCCUAACAUGGCAUUUGCUUUUGUGUGUCGAACUGUACUUAUGCUGGUAUUUCACAAGCUUGGCUUCGGCCUAAGCAGCUGCUGGUGGACCAUGGUCGUGUUUCAAAUGAGCCGAUUUAUUGCGUCAUUUUCGCGUCUGACUUCAUCCAAGAACAUCCUAAACAACAUUUAAGUAAGUUAUUGUAAGAUACACUGGAUUAAGUUUGAAUAGGUACUUUCAAAACCACUAUAAAUUCUUGUGAAUGUAAGAUUACAAUUUUUUUUACAAUUGCUUGAUAAUAGAACAUUGGACGGCCUCACUAA